UCACUGGUACCUUCUCUGUCAGAUAUUUGAAGACCGUCUUCUUUUCCCCUGCUUCGUAUAUAUUGCACUGAGAUAGAAUCUGAAGUGAAGAGAACAAGAGGUGGCCAUCAAGUUCAACAAAGGGCACACAUUUGCCUUGUGAACCUUGCCGAAUCGAACACGAGGAUGCCGCUGCCGCGUUCCGUCAAAGAAGCAGUGAUGGAUCGUCACGCCGAUGCACCUGUCGGCGAUGUUGCAGCUGUUUCCCCCAAUUAGAAUCGUUUUGUUGUGCUCUGAGAAGUGGCAUCUGCCAUUGAGAAAUAAGAGCUAUCAACUUUAAGGUGCCGGUAAA
This is a long non-coding RNA of Zingiber officinale, 331 nucleotides long. RefSeq lists it as uncharacterized. The transcript is spliced from 2 exons. NCBI's taxonomy places the organism in Eukaryota, Viridiplantae, Streptophyta, Magnoliopsida, Zingiberales, Zingiberaceae. The record is from RefSeq and is a predicted model, not a curated record.